CGAACCGACUUACGUUGAAAAGUGAGCGGAUGAACUGAGGGUAGCGGAGAAAUUCCAAUCGAACCUGGAGAUAGCUGGUUCUCUCCGAAAUAGCUUUAGGGCUAGCCUCAAGUGAUGAUUAUUGGAGGUAGAGCACUGUUUGGACGAGGGGCCCCUCUCGGGUUACCGAAUUCAGACAAACUCCGAAUGCCAAUUAAUUUAACUUGGGAGUCAGAACAUGGGUGAUAAGGUCCGUGUUCGAAAGGGAAACAGCCCAGACCACCAGCUAAGGUCCCAAAAUAUAUGUUAAGUGGAAAAGGAUGUGGCGUUGCCCAGACAACUAGGAUGUUGGCUUAGAAGCAGCCAUCAUUUAAAGAGUGCGUAAUAGCUCACUAGUCGAGUGACACUGCGCCGAAAAUGUACCGGGGCUAAACAUAUUACCGAAGCUGUGGAUUGUCCUUUGGACAAUGGUAGGAGAGCGUUCUAAGGGCGUUGAAGCAUGAUCGUAAGGACAUGUGGAGCGCUUAGAAGUGAGAAUGCCGGUGUGAGUAGCGAAAGACGGGUGAGAAUCCCGUCCACCGAUUGACUAAGGUUUCCAGAGGAAGGCUCGUCCGCUCUGGGUUAGUCGGGUCCUAAGCUGAGGCCGACAGGCGUAGGCGAUGGAUAACAGGUUGAUAUUCCUGUACCACCUAUAAUCGUUUUAAUCGAUGGGGGGAC
This 696-nucleotide ribosomal RNA is filed under the name Staphylococcus aureus. Its description in RNAcentral is "partial 23S ribosomal RNA". It matches the Rfam family "Bacterial large subunit ribosomal RNA", at positions 775 to 1473 of the family's 2925-position model. Lineage: Bacteria; Bacillati; Bacillota; Bacilli; Caryophanales; Staphylococcaceae. The record is from RNAcentral.